GACGAACGCUGGCGGCGUGCUUAACACAUGCAAGUCGAACGGAAAGGCCCUGCUUUUGUGGGGUGCUCGAGUGGCGAACGGGUGAGUAACACGUGAGUAACCUGCCCUUGACUUUGGGAUAACUUCAGGAAACUGGGGCUAAUACCGGAUAGGAGCUCCUGCUGCAUGGUGGGGGUUGGAAAGUUUCGGCGGUUGGGGAUGGACUCGCGGCUUAUCAGCUUGUUGGUGGGGUAGUGGCUUACCAAGGCUUUGACGGGUAGCCGACCUGAGAGGGUGACCGGCCACAUUGGGACUGAGAUACGGCCCAGACUCCUACGGGAGGCAGCAGUGGGGAAUAGUGCACAAUGGGCGGAAGCCUGAUGCAGCAACGCCGCGUGCGGGAUGACGGCCUUCGGGUUGUAAACCGCUUUCGCCUGUGACGAAGCGUGAGUGACGGUAAUGGGUAAAGAAGCACCGGCUAACUACGUG
This 468-nucleotide ribosomal RNA is filed under the name uncultured bacterium. Its description in RNAcentral is "partial 16S ribosomal RNA". It matches the Rfam family "Bacterial small subunit ribosomal RNA", at positions 28 to 507 of the family's 1533-position model. The record is from RNAcentral.